RNAcentral lists this ribosomal RNA (109 nucleotides) under Mollicutes bacterium. Lineage: Bacteria; Bacillati; Mycoplasmatota; Mollicutes. The record is from RNAcentral.
CCUGGUGUCGAGAGCAAACCGGUCCCACCUCUUCCCAUUUUGAACAAAGAAGUUAAACGGUUUUACGGCGAAAAUACUGCUUCGGCGGGAACAUAGCGAGAUGCCAGGA